CGAGUCCGCUCAACGGCGUGCGGGGCGCGGGGCUGCCCGGAGCCGGCCGGGCGCUCGCGGGGUGAGGCUGUGCACGGAGGCAGGGGUGCUACCUGCCUACGUUAUCCUUUUCUCUCUCCUUCUCUGGUGUGUGUUAUCGAGGCUUUUAGGGGGAAAAAGAUAUGAGCAUAUUGACCUUCGGACUUUCAUGUUUCCCUGGUUGAUUCUCUUUGAGGACGGGGUGAUGCUAGGUUCACCAGGGGAACAAACGACACUUUUUUUUUCCUUUUUUUCUUCUUUUAACAAUCUCUGAAAAGUGAGCCCAGGCUUACUUGCCUGGGACUGGAGCAUUUUGACGUGCUUUUGAAGUUCGUUUGGAUUUUGAACAUAACAGCCUUUAUCUUUGAAAGGUGUGGUUGCACCUGUAACUAAAUAGGAAAGGUAUCUCGGUUUCGCAUCCAGCAAUACCAGAGUUAAUAGGACCAGUACUUUGUGGGUUAGAUAGUUGGGACCGUUGUCAUUGCUGUUGUUUCUGGAAGGUAUUGUGUUCAUGCUUUAAGGAACUGGAAAAUGCCUUGCGUUUCUGUGUGUAAGGAAGCUCUCCAAAGCACCUCUGAGGGCAGUAUCUGGACGGUAUUUGCAUCUGUUUACGAGUGUGAUGAGAGAGUUACGAUGCUGUUGCCAAGGGCAUGCAGUUUCUUGGGAACGGCGCCCUCACCCCUCAAGCCUGUUGGGUCCGUCUCCUUGCUGUCUCCACAGUCUGCCUCUUCUGUCUUCCCCACUGCCCCUGGCUUGGUUCAGGCCCUCAUUGCUGCUCACCCGCAUUGCCACAACACCCUCCUCGGCCCCUUCCAGCCAUCGUUGUCACAGUGAUCACUCUGCAGCCUUGCUCUUGGAAGCGUGUUUCUUGGACCAGCAUCACCUGGGAGCUAAUUAGAAAUGCAGAAUCGCAGGACCCAUACUCCCCAUCAGCGAUGACCCAGUAUGAAGACAGGCAGCAUCAUUAACCUGAAUAAAGAAAUUUUCAUAUGACAAAUAGAUGAAUGGAUAAGUAAACUGUAUGCAUGUACGCAAUGGAAACCUAGUCAGGAAACAACAUGAGUGACUCAAAGCGUUAUGCUGAGCAAAAGACCCAAGUCUCAAAAAAUUACUCACAGUAUGAUUCCAUUUAUAUAAUGUUCUGGAAAAGACAAAAUUGUAGGGGCAAAGUUCAGUGGCUGAGGGGGAGCUCUGACUACAAAGGGGCAGCGUGAGGGAAUUUUGGGGGUGCUGAAAUGCUCUGCGUUUGGAUCGUGCUGGUGAGCGCACUUGUCAGUACAUGUGUUAAUACUCAUGGACUGUACACCAAAGGAAGCCAAGUGGACUGUACGUAAAUUUAAACAUAAAUAAUAAAUUAAUUAAUUAACAAUGAUAGAGAUGAGUUACAAACCAUUGGAUACAAUCGGAAACCUUGAGAUCAUAUUAAUAUAAAGCGGUAAACACAAUGAUCUUCUCCCAAACACUUACCAACUGCAGAGGGAGGAAGGUUAACUUUAUGGCGGAGAAGGCCUGGCUG
RNAcentral lists this long non-coding RNA (1534 nucleotides) under Camelus dromedarius (Arabian camel). RNAcentral describes it as "lncRNA (ENSCDRG00005015815.1)". The record is from RNAcentral. Lineage: Eukaryota; Metazoa; Chordata; Mammalia; Artiodactyla; Camelidae.